AAAAACAUUCUUGAAGAUGUUCCCUCUUCCUCCUUCUUGUAUAAUCCUUGCCCCCAAACUCAACUUCCCCUUCAGAAUCUCAGACAGAUUAGGACCCAUUUUCACUGCAGAGUCAUGCAUGCAAACAGCACAUGGUGAGUUAAUCUAAUGUUCAAUAGAAUUGAUCACUUUUUUUAUAAUAUGGAGUGUGAUCUCUCAACUUUGAAUUACCAUGGUCAUGAAUCCUACAUGUAAAACUGCUGCUUUUUCCUGUGUCAUUUUCUUUACCUGCAGAAGGUACAAUAGAACUCCCUUUAUAGUCUGUUACAUGUUUAGUCUCGUGCAUCGAUGUCAUGAGUAAAAGUGUAAAACC
RNAcentral lists this long non-coding RNA (352 nucleotides) under Phaseolus vulgaris (common bean). RNAcentral's name for it is "long non-coding RNA (PVUL_LNC003673)". Lineage: Eukaryota; Viridiplantae; Streptophyta; Magnoliopsida; Fabales; Fabaceae. The record is from RNAcentral.